Molecule: RNA transcript, 2034 nt
Organism: Contarinia nasturtii (swede midge)
Lineage: Eukaryota; Metazoa; Arthropoda; Insecta; Diptera; Cecidomyiidae
Gene name: basic salivary proline-rich protein 2-like
Exons: 13
Source: RefSeq, a predicted model, not a curated record
UUAAAUGCAUAAACGCGCUUUUCUAUGGUAAAAUUGGCAAAACUAAAUAUCAAUUGUAUUUGCGUAUAUGCCGCCAUUAUAUUGACUUUUUCAUUGAAAAUAGUGAAUCGCAUUGUUGAGUUCUUGUGUACAUUUAUAUGCUUUAAAAAGGCGUGUAUUUUUACAUUUUUGACAAAAUAAAUUUACUGUGAAUCAUAGAAUUUCGAGUUUUCAUCAGUUGUGUCGUGUAGUUUUGUGAAUAAAAUUUUAGUGACUUAAAUUCAAUAGGUAGAAUCUAUUGCAUCCAUACCUAACUGAAAAAAAUAUUAAACUAUAAAACAAUAUGGAAAAUGGUUCCAAUAAUUCAGGACCACCAAUGAGAGGUGGAUUUCGUGGUCGUGGGGGUAUGCCGCGUGGAAGUUUCGAUGGUCGUGGCAGAGGCCGUGGAAUGGGCAGAGGUGGUGGACCGAUGGGUUCGAUGCCUAGAGGAUUCAAUGGGCCACCAGCUUUGAGACGUGGAUUAAUGCGUGGUAUUAUGAGUCGAGGAAUGAAUUUUAGAGGUGGGCCGUCCAGAGGAAAUCCGGGACGUGGUGGAAGACCAAUGAAUUAUAACUAUCAGAACCAAAGCACAAACAUAGGACCACCUUCAAAUGAUGUCGCUCAAAAGCCUGAGGCAUCAUCCAAUACUCCAAAUCCCAGUUCACAACAGACAUCAAAACCAACUCAAAAUAAUUCGCAUUCUUCAGCAAAUGAUCAGAGCAACACAGCACCAAUCAAUCAAUCUGGACCACCUACAUCUAAAGUAAUUGGAAAUUCGAUUCGAGGUGGAAGAGGAGGUGGCAUGUCACAACGUCGUGGAGGAAGCAGCUAUAAUCCCAAUAUAAAUGUCACUGGAAAUGAUAUACAACAAGGAUCUAAUCCCCCGUCAAAACCUUUUUAUCGUGGAGGUUUAUCUCGAGGUCGUGGGGGAUUUCAGCAAGGUCCGACCAGACCGAAUGGUCCAAUGCAUGGAUCUAAUCAUCAGCCAGGAAUGAUGCAGCCUGGAAUUCCACUCAAAAGAGGACCUCCCAUUGGAUUACCAGGACCGAAACGAGGUCGCUAUGAACAAACGCCAUCACAUCGUUUACAAAAAUAUCCAAUGCAAGGGCCACAAGGUCCUACCCCACCGCAAUUACAAGGUCCUCCAAAUCAUCAGCAACCACAAUCGCAGCCAAACUAUAGUAAUAACUACCCCAAUUCGAUACCCCCAAUGCAACAUCAACCAAACAACUACUAUGGACCACAAGGCAAUGGUGGGUAUGAUCAAAUGGGUCAAAUUCAUGACUAUUCGCAAAAUUAUGUACCACCACCAUCUCAAUCUGCUUAUAGUACUAAUGGCUACUCACAAUAUCCUCAACAAAGCUACCCACAAACAAGUGAAUAUGACCAAAGUCAAGGAUAUUCUCAAGAUUAUAAUACAACAUCAUACCAACAAGAUGCACGUUAUCCAACUGGCUAUACACAGUCGGACUACAAUACAACCAACUAUGGAACAUCUACAGAUUAUAAUACUUCGACUUCUGACUACUCACAAGCUGGAACAUAUGAUAACAGAUCAUACAGUGGAUAUGCUACUACAUGAUAACGGAUUUGAAAUUUGUUCAUCCUCAAAGUUUGAUAAAACCUUGUUUGUGUUAUGAUUCCAUACGAAAAGAUGUGGCACAAAUUCCUGUCAAAUUUAAGGCCGGAUUUAUGUGUACUUUUCGGUCACAUUCAGAAGUGAAUCAAAGCACGACUACAAUGACAGCUGGGCAACGCAGCAACUUCAUUAUGGUUGUAACUGUUUAUGUUGAGUGGCACAAAUUUGUACCAUUUUUGAUUUAGGCGAUCGAAAUUUAUGCCAUUUUUUAGUUUCGCUGGCAACCGCACCAUGGCGCUUCUGUCAACGUUGCUUGUCAUCGCCGCGCUUUGAUGUGAAUACAUGGAAAAGAGAAACGACAAUCAUUAGUAGAAUUGUUUUGAUUGUUUUUCCAUUUCAUUGAUUUUAUCGUCGUUGAAAAACGAAUUCCAUAUCCC